Molecule: long non-coding RNA, 590 nt
Organism: Vidua chalybeata
Lineage: Eukaryota; Metazoa; Chordata; Aves; Passeriformes; Viduidae
Exons: 2
Source: RefSeq, a predicted model, not a curated record
GCCGGGUGGGUGUCGGUGACCGGGACCUUCGGGGCCAUCACGGACUGGGGGGGCGACGCCGCCCCCGCCCCCGGCCGGGGCCUGGCCCGGGCCCUGCAGUGGGGACCCCUCGCCCGGGCCCUCCACGCCCCCGUGACCGAGGACAGCGACGAGGAGGCGGAGCCAUGACAGGCCACGCCCACCCAAGCCGCGCACAGAGGGGUGGAGCCUGUACAAGCCACGCCCCUACCUGUGCCAUAAACGGACCUGGUGUGGCUGAGGCCACGCCCACAACUGGAACCACGCCCCAAAUGGGCAGAGCCUUUAAAGCCACACCCACCUCAUUAACAGAGCUGGCCACACCCAGUGGGUGGGGCUUAUUUAAACCAGAGUGCCUGAAGCCCUUCCCAGUAUGGGUGGGGCCUUUGGAAGCCCCACCCACUUUUAUUAAAAAUACAAAUGCUGUUCACAGGGGGCUCCACCCACAAAUGAAGCCACUCCCACUGUGGGUGGGGCCUCUCGAGGCCACACCCAGGACCACUCCCGCAGAGGGCGUGGCCAGCAAAACCCCGCCCCUUUCACGGUCAAUAAAGGAUUUGCCGCGCCAGGUG